AGGACGAACGCUGGCGGCGUGCUUAACACAUGCAAGUCGAGCGGAAAGGCCCUUUGGGGUACUCGAGCGGCGAACGGGUGAGUAACACGUGAGUAAUCUGCCCCUAGCUCUGGGAUAGCUCCGGGAAACCGGGAUUAAUACCAGAUACGACCACUUUAGACAUCUUCUGUGGUGGAAAGAACUUCGGCUAGGGAUGAACUCGCGGCCUAUCAGCUUGUUGGUGAGGUAACGGCUCACCAAGGCGACGACGGGUAGCCGGCCUGAGAGGGCGACCGGCCACACUGGGACUGAGACACGGCCCAGACUCCUACGGGAGGCAGCAGUGGGGAAUAUUGCGCAAUGGGCGAAAGCCUGACGCAGCGACGCCGCGUGGGGAUGAAGGCCUUCGGGUUGUAACCCCUUUCAGCAGGGACGAAGCGAAAGUGACGGUACCUGCAGAAGAAGCGCCGGCUAACUACGUGCCAGCAGCCGC
This 472-nucleotide ribosomal RNA is filed under the name uncultured bacterium. RNAcentral's name for it is "SSU rRNA". It matches the Rfam family "Bacterial small subunit ribosomal RNA", at positions 26 to 518 of the family's 1533-position model. The record is from RNAcentral.